CUUCUGAUCAUGUCAAUUCCAUCGCGCUGCAGCCUGUCACCUUUGAAAGUUAAAAUAAUAACUUAACACGCCAAUCUCAACACCAAAGACCACUGACAGAAUGGAAACCAACCUCGGAGAUAUCAUGCUUGAAUGUCUACGGAGGCCUCUGAGAAGAGUCCGGGGAAUCCUGAGCUGCUGUUUUCCUGCCAACUCUGAAAAAUUUUCAAUAGAAGAAACGUCUCCAGUACACCAUGUCCCAAGCUCCGUCCGUCCAUUUUUGGAGAGUUAAUGGAGUUUAGUUCAUCUGAUUACAUCAACCCAAUUGCAGAAUUGUGGGACUUUGAUUUGGAGUUUGUAAGUUUAAAAGAAGCACUUUUGAGAAGAUGGAUCCACUUCUCUUUCACUCAAAAUUGUCGUCGCUCCAGUCCCCCAUAUUUAUCCCUGAGACAAACUCCCAACAGAAGCACGUUUCAAGAGGACACGCACAGUUGGCGAGUUCAGUGGUGGAACGUCUUCUCUACUGCAUUCAAGGCAGCAACCCAGUAGCGUGCCCGCUCCUCUGGGACAGGUUGCACCAGCUGUACUUAUGUUACAUCUUAGAAUAGUUAUAGCUUGAAUGGGCACAAAGUUACAAUUUACCUACUUCUAAAUGUUUGAGCGUUGCACCCUUAAACUUAUUCUAAGUAUAAACUAUAUAUAAACUAAAUAUUUACUGAAGACACCAACUACGAAUAACAGUUGGUAUAAAAAAUGACUGAUUGAAUUACAUGUUUUGCAUAACUUCAAUACUUUAGACCUGCACUCACUGAGCACUUUAUUAGGAACACUAUUGUCCUAAUAAAUUGCCCGACAUAGUCUUCUGCUGUUGCAGCCCAUCCGCCUCACGGUUCAACUUGUUGUUUAUUCUGAGAUGCUAUUCCGCUCACUACAAUUGUACAGAGUGGUUAUCUGAGUUACAGUUCACUUUGUCAGUUCAAACCAGUCUGGCCAUUCUCUGUUGAUCUCUCUCAUCAACAAGACAUUUCUGUCCGCAGAACUGCCACUCACUGGAUGUUUUUUGUUUUUGGCACCAUUCUGAGUAAACUCUAGAGACUGUUGUGUGUGAAACUCCCAGGAGAUCAGCAGAUACAAAAAUACUCAAACCUGCCCAUCUGGCACCAACAAACAUGCCACGAUCAAAAUCACUGAGAUCAAAUUUUUUUCUCCAUUCUGAUGGUUGAGUUGAACAUUAACUGAAGCGCCUGACCCGUAUAUGCACUAUUUUAUGCACUAUUUUCACAUGAUUGGCUAAUUAGAUAAUCGCAUAAGUACAGUAUGUGUACAGGUGUUCCUAAUAAAGUGCUCAGUGAGUGUAUGGUCAUUCCAAUCGACCGAUAGUACCGUGCAAAGUAGACUUCACAUGUUAUUUAGCAAUCUUAAGUGAGAUUACAAUCCGAAAGUGAGCAUAGGGCACUCCAAACGGCAUAGGGAAUAAGGGUACAUCGAUACAUGACAACAGUCAUUUAUCUUAAAGGUUAUGGAUAAAUAUUAAUUUAAAUAUAUAUAUAUAUAUAUUUAAUAAGAAUACACAUGGAUUUAUUAUAUACAUUUAAGUAUGUGGAUUUAAGGUAAUUUAUAUUACAUUUAUAUGCAUUUACAGGAUAUAAGUAUAUUAUGUCAUCUUACAUGAAACCAGUCAUCUGCUUGACUUGAAGCGUUGUCUGUGUUUGUUGUUGCAGGAUAUUACAAAUGACAAGUUUUGUGAAGUGAAGUGAACUUUAACAGAUAUCUCAUGCUCAGUUAUUAGGGAGCAGUGAACACUGUGUAGGGACCCUGCAAAUCGGAACGCAGCUAUAAUGUAUGAUGUUUGCAUUUACGAGAGGAUCCAUUUGACUUCUUUGUAACUCUUCAGGCUGAAACCGAUCUAAACUGUGCACUUUCCAGUGCUGUCACUGGCAUGCCAAGUUUCAAAACGUACAAAAUAUGUAUAGAAUAGUAAAAGGAACCAAUGUAAAUUAGUAUUAAUAUUUAUUCACUGCCCUUAUUUAUACACUUCCUAAAUAUUUGUAUUAUUAUUUAUGUACAUAUUUAGAUAAAAGGCUACUAUUUUGUAUAUUUAGCCUAGAGAUUUUUUGCGUAUUGUAUUUUAAUGGAAUUGUUACCGAUGACUGUUACGUGAUACGGGUUUGAACGUCAACCUUUGCAAGAUAACGCAUGGCCUUUCAACACUUCUGUUUACAAAUUUGAAGGCUGCUUGUUGGAUCAGUAAAGGUGAAUGUCAUAUUAUGCGAUUUUACAUUGCUUUAUGGAGAGCUUACGCUAAGUAUUGUAUUAAGAACAGGUGGUGCAACCAAAUUAAGCACUAAAUUAGAUACAAACUAACUAGUAGUCACUAAGCCCACAGUUUGAACUUAAUGCCCCAACUUAAGAGACCUUCCACACAGCUGGUGCAGCCCUGCCCUGGAGGCUACUCCUCUGGAUGCACAAGUAGUGCCUGCCUUGUGCCUUCCCUCUCCUGGACUCUGAAGGACGGGACCCUCCCAGAAGUGGAUACAGCACACUUCUUAAAUGAAUACAACUCUUGUAAUCUGGACCCAACAUACAAUUUAGAUACUAAAUUGGAUCAGCAUGAUCACAAGAGAUGUUGGCACGAUGUUUACAUUUAUGCAUUUGUGACUUACAGUGCACUUAUUACUGGGACAAUCCCCCCGGAGCAACCUGGAGUUAAGUGCCUUGCUCAAGGACACAAUGGUGGUGGCUGUGAGGCUCGAACCAGCAACCUUCUGAUUAAGUUAUGUGCUUUAGCCCACUACACCACCACCACUCCAUGUUUCUGAAAGUUCCGAUCAAACAUUUAUGUAUCAGCUCCAGUGUAUUUACUUUCCCUUGUGGUGUGACUGGAAGCAUGUUGCAUCAGCAGCAUAGGACACCAUCACAUCAUUCAUCACACUGGAAAUUGAAGAUCAAGUAAAGCACAUUGCAUUUGGGGAUACAGUACCCAGCACAGUAAAUGCACUAUUUUCUAGAAAUCUUGACAAACGUACUGUAGUAGGUCAUCUCAGUACUAUGCACAGUAUAGGUACUAUAGAAAUAGAAUGGUAGUUUGCUAGCCAAAAUGUCUUUUGUUUUAGAGCUAGCCACAGCACCCUCAGGGUAUAUAAUGAUUUAUUGCCAGCAAUGGAUAUUGGUAGUGUGUUACCUUAUUGGAUCUUUAGGCUGCCUUUUUGUUAUACUGCUGGUUGCUUAAACUGUCUAAGGCAGAGGCCUGGCAUUCAGGGCAUGGUGCUUUACUUCCUACCUGAAUGAUACAAGUGUUCCUGUAGCUCAAGUGGUAUUGCUUGGUGCUAGCAGUGCCAAGAUCAUGGGUUUGAUUCCCAUGAGUCACACAAACUGGUACACUUGAAUGUACUGUUAAGUUGCUCUGGAUAAAAGUGUCUGCCAAAUGUGAAAUACUUUUUAUUGUAUUUCAGUUGUACUCAACUUUUCAGUACUGUCUACUAAACAUCCUUGACAUCGUUUUUGAUUUGACCAACCACUGUACGGACUGCCUAACCUGUCAACAUGUUCAAAACUCGCCUUAAGACUGUCUAACUUUUGCAAUAUAUUUAUCCAUGUUUAGUGUUGCUUAUCUUGUGUUUUUCCCCCUUUUGUUACAGUUGUUGAAGCUAUUGAGUAUUUAAUAAAAAUUUCUUGCAAUUUGUAUUUUACUUUUCUUAAAAGCUAAACUAACUUCUCUUUGAGCACUUAAUCCAGCACUCUUAAAAAAAACUAUUUGUACUCUAAUUUCUAUCUUGACUCAAACUUUUCUAAUACAAUAGAACAUUUGCAGCACUUUUGUAUUACUGUUUCCUUAGAAUGAAUCGCUGAUGUUGUAUCCUUCCUCAGUUGCUUUGGAUGAACGCGUUGGCUAAAUGAAUAAAUGCAAAUGUUCUCCAAAGACAUCUCUCAGGACUCAAGGAAAAUUGUGGAAGCCAUAAUACAAUUAAUCUUUGUCGAUAGAUGUAUGUAUUAUAUUGAUCAUUCAACAGAAUUUCAAAAUGUCCUACUGGCACAAUAAAGAUUC
This is a long non-coding RNA of Xyrauchen texanus (razorback sucker), 4024 nucleotides long. RefSeq lists it as uncharacterized. NCBI's taxonomy places the organism in Eukaryota, Metazoa, Chordata, Actinopteri, Cypriniformes, Catostomidae. The transcript is spliced from 4 exons. The record is from RefSeq and is a predicted model, not a curated record.